UAGCGUAUAUUAAAGUUGUUGCGGUUAAAAAGCUCGUAGUUGGAUUUCUGCUGUGGGCAGCCGGUCCACACUAUGUGUGAGUAUCUGGUUCGACCACGGCAUCCUCCCGAGGAACGUCGGCGCGCUUCAUUGCGUGGCGCGGUAUUCGGGACUUUUACUUUGAGGAAAUUAGAGUGUUCACGGCAGGCGUUUGCCUUGAAUAUAUUAGCAUGGAAUAAUGAUAUAGGCAUCUGAGUCUAUUUUGUUGGUUUCUAGGCUCAGUUGAAUGAUUAAUAGGGACAGUUGGGGGCAUUCGUAUUAUGACGUC
RNAcentral lists this ribosomal RNA (307 nucleotides) under Amoebophrya sp. RNAcentral describes it as "SSU rRNA". It matches the Rfam family "Eukaryotic small subunit ribosomal RNA", at positions 595 to 906 of the family's 1831-position model. The record is from RNAcentral. Lineage: Eukaryota; Dinophyceae; Syndiniales; Amoebophryaceae.